UACCAGCACCCCGAGUGGUCGGGACGAUUAUUGGGCCUAAAGCAUCCGUAGCCGGUCAUGCAAGUCCUCCGUUAAAUCCACCUGCUUAACAGAUGGGCUGCGGAGGGUACUACAAGGCUAGGAGGCGGAAGAGGCAAGCGGUACUCAGUGGGUAGGGGUAAAAUCCUCUGAUCCAUUGAAGACCACCAGUGGCGAAGGCGGCUUGCCAAUACGCGCUCGACGGUGAGGGAUGAAAGCUGGGGGAGCAAACCGG
This 253-nucleotide ribosomal RNA is filed under the name uncultured bacterium. Its description in RNAcentral is "partial 16S ribosomal RNA". It matches the Rfam family "Archaeal small subunit ribosomal RNA", at positions 474 to 727 of the family's 1478-position model. The record is from RNAcentral.